RNAcentral lists this ribosomal RNA (460 nucleotides) under uncultured bacterium. RNAcentral describes it as "partial 16S ribosomal RNA". It matches the Rfam family "Bacterial small subunit ribosomal RNA", at positions 338 to 795 of the family's 1533-position model. The record is from RNAcentral.
CCUACGGGUGGCAGCAGUGAGGCAUAUUGGUCAAUGGACGAGAGUCUGAACCAGCCAAGUAGCGUGAAGGAUGACUGCCCUAUGGGUUGUAAACUUCUUUUAUAUGGGAAUAAAAUGUUCCACGUGUGGGAUUUUGUAUGUACCAUAUGAAUAAGGAUCGGCUAACUCCGUGCCAGCAGCCGCGGUAAUACGGAGGAUCCGAGCGUUAUCCGGAUUUAUUGGGUUUAAAGGGAGCGUAGGUGGAUUGUUAAGUCAGUUGUGAAAGUUUGCGGCUCAACCGUAACAUUGCAGUUGAAACUGGCAGUCUUGAGUACAGUAGAGGUGGGCGGAAUUCGUGGUGUAGCGGUGAAAUGCUUAGAUAUCACGAAGAACUCCGAUUGCGAAGGCAGUUCACUGGACUGCAACUGACGCUGAGGCUCGAAAGUGUGGGUAUCAAACAGGAUUAGAUACCCCUGUAGUC